This 471-nucleotide ribosomal RNA is filed under the name uncultured Smithella sp. RNAcentral describes it as "bacterial SSU rRNA". It matches the Rfam family "Bacterial small subunit ribosomal RNA", at positions 916 to 1381 of the family's 1533-position model. The record is from RNAcentral. Lineage: Bacteria; Pseudomonadati; Thermodesulfobacteriota; Syntrophia; Syntrophales; Smithellaceae.
ACGGGGCCCGCACAAGCGGUGGAGCAUGUGGUUUAAUUCGAUGCAACGCGAAGAACCUUACCUAGACUUGACAUCCCGGGAAUUCUUAGGAAACUAAGAGGUGCCUUUCGGGGAGCCCGGUGACAGGUGCUGCAUGGCUGUCGUCAGCUCGUGUCGUGAGAUGCUGGGUUAAGUCCCGCAACGAGCGCAACCCCUAUCUUUAAUUGCCAUCAUUCAGUUGGGCACUUUAGAGAGACUGCCGGUGUUAAGCCGGAGGAAGGUGGGGAUGACGUCAAGUCCUCAUGGCCUUUAUGUCUAGGGCUACACACGUGCUACAAUGGGUGGUACAAAGAGCAGCUAACUCGCGAGAGUAUGCAAAUCUCAAAAAGCCAUCCUCAGUUCGGAUUGGAGUCUGCAACUCGACUCCAUGAAGUUGGAAUCGCUAGUAAUCGCGGAUCAGAACAUGCCGCGGUGAAUACGUUCCCGGGCCUU